GAGCCGCUAGCUCAGCUGGUAGAGCACCGGUCUUUUAAACCGGUGGUCCCGGGUUCGACCCCGGGACGUGCUCACCA
Molecule: transfer RNA, 77 nt
Filed under: Persephonella sp.
Lineage: Bacteria; Pseudomonadati; Aquificota; Aquificia; Aquificales; Hydrogenothermaceae
Description: tRNA-Lys
Rfam family: tRNA (bases 8-64)
About the family: Transfer RNA (tRNA) molecules are approximately 80 nucleotides in length. Their secondary structure includes four short double-helical elements and three loops (D, anti-codon, and T loops).
Source: RNAcentral